AACAGCCUCUGAAGUCUGUUGAUCACUAUUUUUACUUGAAAAAAUGAUUGAAUAACUGUGGUUAUUCAGACUAGGAGAUCUGGAAGGAAUUUUCCAUGUAUUGCAGGAGUGGCAGUAAAAAAAAAAAAAAAAAAAAAAAAAAAAAAAAAGUUACAGGAGAGUGAUUCUGAGAAUAUUGAGACAGAAGCCAAAUGUGAGGAUGAGAUAACAGAGGAGGAAAUGCAGAGGAUGCAAUAGUGAUCCUGAGAUAUCCUCCUGGGGUGACACUCGGCCUCUGAUUGGCCAAUGACCCCACACAGGAUAAAACAAGGGACCUUGAACCACCUUGGUAACACUCCGAGCUCUACUCUCCUCAGGAGCCCCGAGAGUGGCUCAGUGGUCCCAGCACGGAGCAGAUGCCCCAAGGGACUACAUGGCGUGGAGAGACUAAUACCUUAAACCAUGAGAGUCUGAAAUGGAACAGCUACCAGAGUCGGCAGUCACAGGGCUCCGCGAAGAAGCAGCCUAGGACCUAUCACAGAGAAGAUGGCCUUGGUGUCCUGACCACUCUCCAGCCAUCGAAGCAGUGGACCGGCCCCAGGGCGCGGGCUCCUUGGGCAAACAGUGCCCAGGAUAUUUUGGUGAGCACCGUAAGUUAUUCGUGAUGACAUCAACCUCCUACAGUUUUCUCCUUCAUGUCCCUAGAAUAUUGUUGCUAGUGCAUUAUGGGUCUACACUCUAAAACCAUCCCAAACAUGCUCAAUCCUUCAUACUACUGAUAUAGUUCAUGGGUUCAAACUUCAAGGGCUUUCUACGGGACUGCCGACCCUCCUCUGCGUCUGUGCCCCCGCUUAGCUCCUCAGACAUCACUCGCUUCUGGUUUCUUCCUCUGCACCCUUUCCUUUUCUCUGUAUCCCUUGGUCCUUUUAUUAAUUACACGUUUCAUUUUGUUUUAUUGGGGUUUAGUUGGCUUACAAUGUUAUAUUCGUUUUAGGUGUUCAGCAAAGUGAAUCAGGCACACGUAUUCAUACAUCCAUUCUUUUUCCCCCUCUAGGUUAUUACACACUAUUGGGUAGGUUCUCCUGUGCUCUGUGGUAGCUUCUCGUCAAUCAUCUAUUUUAUAUAGUGGCGUGUCCAUGUCACUGUCACCCUCCCGAUUCUUCCCUCCCCACAACGGUUUCCCCUAUGGCGACCAUAAGACUGGUUUUGAAAUCUAGGAGUCUGUUUCUGUUUUAUAAAAAAGCUCUGUUGUAUCAUUCUUUAUUCAAGUCCACAUAGAGGUGCUAUCAUAUGAUACUUAGCUGACUUACUCCACCGAGGUCAGUGGGCCUGCCACCUGGACACAGGUAUGGAGGCAGACCAGAUGCCUCCACACACCUUGCCAUCUUCCGUCAUCCUCUCCCCUGUACCCUGAACUGCUUUUCAUGUACUAACCGUACUGAGCGUUCCACCCUCGGCGUGGACACGCUCCCCCAAGCCUCUGGCCCUUCUUCAAGUGGUUUCUCUGCAUUGGGUGCCAUCCUCCUUGGUAACGUCUACCAGGUCUUCAAGGGUCAACUGUCCCCCGAGGGCUAGAGUUCCAAUCACACUGUCCCGUCAGUGGUUGUGACCUCGGGGUCCUUGCAGGCAGAGACUGGCUCUCCCCACCUGCUUCCACCUCGCAUUUUGCUCAGAGCCUGAGGGAGAGAGGACACAAGCGAACCAGCUGGUUAGAUGCGGAGACGAUUGAGUGAGUGAGCC
This 1719-nucleotide long non-coding RNA is filed under the name Sus scrofa (pig). RNAcentral's name for it is "lncRNA (ENSSSCG00060032491.1)". The record is from RNAcentral. Lineage: Eukaryota; Metazoa; Chordata; Mammalia; Artiodactyla; Suidae.